UAAUACGUAGGGGGCAAGCGUUAUCCGGAAUCACUGGGCGUAAAGGGUGCGUAGGCGGUCUUACAAGUCAGGGGUGAAAGGCUACGGCUCAACCGUAGUAAGCCUUUGAAACUGUAGGACUUGAGUGCAGGAGAGGAAAGUGGAAUUCCUAGUGUAGCGGUGAAAUGCGUAGAUAUUAGGAGGAACACCAGUGGCGAAGGCGACUUUCUGGACUGUAACUGACGCUGAGGCACGAAAGUGUGGGGAGCAAACAGGAUUAGAUACCCUGGUAGUCCACACCGUAAACGAUGAGUGCUAGGUGUUGGGGGUCGAACCUCAGUGCCGCAGCUAACGCAUUAAGCACUCCGCCUGGGGAGUACGCUCGCAAGAGUG
RNAcentral lists this ribosomal RNA (372 nucleotides) under uncultured bacterium. RNAcentral describes it as "bacterial SSU rRNA". It matches the Rfam family "Bacterial small subunit ribosomal RNA", at positions 521 to 896 of the family's 1533-position model. The record is from RNAcentral. RNAcentral also lists the same sequence under 1 other name.